CGUGUAGGCGGUUGGUCAAGUCUGGUGUGAAAGCCCGGGGCUCAGCUCCGGAAGUGCAUCGGAAACUAGCCAACUGGAGCGCGAUAGAGGAGGGUGGAAUUCCUGGUGUAGCGGUGAAAUGCGUAGAUAUCAGGAGGAACACCGGCGGCGAAGGCGGCCCUCUGGAUCGUUGCUGACGCUGAGACGCGAAAGCGUGGGGAGCAAACAGGAUUAGAUACCCUGGUAGUCCACGCUGUAAACUAUGGGUACUAGGUGUUCGGGGUGUUGACCCUCUGAGUGCCGCAGCUAACGCAUUAAGUACCCCGCCUGGGGACUACGGCCGCAAGGUUAAA
This 332-nucleotide ribosomal RNA is filed under the name uncultured bacterium. RNAcentral describes it as "bacterial SSU rRNA". It matches the Rfam family "Bacterial small subunit ribosomal RNA", at positions 568 to 898 of the family's 1533-position model. The record is from RNAcentral.